RNAcentral lists this ribosomal RNA (477 nucleotides) under Veillonella parvula. Its description in RNAcentral is "bacterial SSU rRNA". It matches the Rfam family "Bacterial small subunit ribosomal RNA", at positions 28 to 474 of the family's 1533-position model. The record is from RNAcentral. Lineage: Bacteria; Bacillati; Bacillota; Negativicutes; Veillonellales; Veillonellaceae.
GACGAACGCUGGCGGCGUGCUUAACACAUGCAAGUCGAACGAAGAGCGAUGGAAGCUUGCUUCUAUCAAUCUUAGUGGCGAACGGGUGAGUAACGCGUAAUCAACCUGCCCUUCAGAGGGGGACAACAGUUGGAAACGACUGCUAAUACCGCAUACGAUCUGACCUCGGCAUCGAGGAUAGAUGAAAGGUGGCCUCUACAUGUAAGCUAUCACUGAAGGAGGGGAUUGCGUCUGAUUAGCUAGUUGGAGGGGUAACGGCCCACCAAGGCGAUGAUCAGUAGCCGGUCUGAGAGGAUGAACGGCCACAUUGGGACUGAGACACGGCCCAGACUCCUACGGGAGGCAGCAGUGGGGAAUCUUCCGCAAUGGACGAAAGUCUGACGGAGCAACGCCGCGUGAGUGAUGACGGCCUUCGGGUUGUAAAGCUCUGUUAAUCGGGACGAAAGGCCUUCUUGCGAAUAGUGAGAAGGAUUGACG